Molecule: unclassified non-coding RNA, 379 nt
Filed under: soil metagenome
Description: partial contains 5.8S ribosomal RNA, internal transcribed spacer 2, and large subunit ribosomal RNA
Rfam family: 5.8S ribosomal RNA (bases 1-120)
Source: RNAcentral
GAUGAAGAACGUAGCGAAAUGCGAUAAGUAAUGUGAAUUGCAGAAUUCAGUGAAUCAUCGAAUCUUUGAACGCACCUUGCACCCUUUGGCAUUCCGAAGGGUAUGCUCGUUUGAGUGUCAUUGUACUCUCACACUUCCAAUCUUUGGAUUGGGGGCGGUGGACUUGGGUGUUGCUGCUUACUGUGGCUCACCUCAAAUUGAUUCGUGCACCUCUUGGUUGGACAUAGUACGGCGUGAUAAGUGUCUUCGCCGGCACCUCAGUAGAGGGUGGCUGAUCGGGAGCUCUGUGCUUCAAACCGUCCUCGGACAACAACUGACAACUUGACCUCAAAUCGAGUAGGACUACCCGCUGAGCUUAAGCAUAUCAAUAAGCGGAGGA